AGAGUUUGAUCCUGGCUCAGGAUGAACGCUAGCUACAGGCUUAACACAUGCAAGUCGAGGGGAAACGAUAUUGGAAGCUUGCUUCCGAUAGGCGUCGACCGGCGCACGGGUGAGUAACGCGUAUCCAACCUGCCCACCACUUGGGGAUAACCUUGCGAAAGUAAGACUAAUACCCAAUGAUAUCUCUAGAAGACAUCUGAAAGAGAUUAAAGAUUUAUCGGUGAUGGAUGGGGAUGCGUCUGAUUAGCUUGGUUGGCGGGGUAACGGCCACCAAGGCGACGAUCAGUAGGGGUUCUGAGAGGAAGGUCCCCCCANAUUGGAACUGAGACACGGUCCAAACUCCUACGGGAGGCA
Molecule: ribosomal RNA, 354 nt
Filed under: uncultured bacterium
Lineage: Bacteria
Description: bacterial SSU rRNA
Rfam family: Bacterial small subunit ribosomal RNA
Source: RNAcentral